Long non-coding RNA from Gadus morhua (Atlantic cod), 827 nucleotides. RefSeq lists it as uncharacterized. Lineage: Eukaryota; Metazoa; Chordata; Actinopteri; Gadiformes; Gadidae. The record is from RefSeq and is a predicted model, not a curated record. The transcript has 3 exons.
UGAGACCUCCUGUUACCUUUAAAGAUGGAAAUCAGUCCAUCGAGAAGAGAAGAGUCCAGCAGCAGCAGAGAGCAGACUCCCCUGGUUCCAGCUGUGUCUCUAUGAAGAGUGGCUGGUCUAUGGAUCCUCCUGCUAAGUUUAAAGAUGGAAAUCAGUAUAUUGAGAAGAGACACCAGGAGAGGUCAAAGGUCACCAGUGCUCAGUCUGUACAGCAGCCUCAAACAGAGCUGGAGAUGAACCAGGAGGAACUGGCUGACACACUGGGGGGCGGUAAGAGACUCUUACUUUGAAGACAGAGGAGACUAUUAUUUUGAAGGGCAAAAGAGAUCUUAUUUUGAAAAAAGAGAAGAAAUUAUAUUUUUAAGUAGCAGUAUCUUUCCUCUGUGGGUUAAAUGGUGUAGGGUUAUUGUGGGGGUAUCAGGUAAAUGGUUUCGUCCAUAUAUGUAGAGUUAUGGUGGGGGUAUCAGGUUAAAGGGUUUGAUCCAGAUAUGUAGGGUUAUUGUGUGGGUAUUAGGUUAAGUGGUUUGAUCCAGAUAUGUAGGGUUAUUGUUAUUGUUGGGUAUCGUUUGGGUUCUAUCAGAUACCGGUGCCAACUCUGUACUUUUCAAACGGUUCCGGUGCUAAAACGGUUCUCGAAUCGGUACUUAAAAAAUCGAAACCGCACACGCUUGCAUACAUGCACGACUUGUUAUGAGUUUCACAUUAAGCAGAAAGUCAGCGGACACUGAGUUGAAUGGCAACGGUGUUUGCUAGCCUACUUGAUAUGCAAGAUUUAUGGUUGGCAUUAAAUUACUCGACUUACCCCAAGAGGAAAGGCUGAUGUGAGU